UCACGAAGAGGUAAAGUGGAUUGA
This 24-nucleotide non-coding RNA is filed under the name Arabidopsis thaliana (thale cress). The record is from RNAcentral. Lineage: Eukaryota; Viridiplantae; Streptophyta; Magnoliopsida; Brassicales; Brassicaceae.